This 253-nucleotide ribosomal RNA is filed under the name uncultured Lactobacillus sp. Its description in RNAcentral is "partial 16S ribosomal RNA". It matches the Rfam family "Bacterial small subunit ribosomal RNA", at positions 524 to 776 of the family's 1533-position model. Lineage: Bacteria; Bacillati; Bacillota; Bacilli; Lactobacillales; Lactobacillaceae. The record is from RNAcentral.
UACGGGGGGUGCAAGCGUUGUCCGGAAUCAUUGGGCGUAAAGGGAACGCAGGCGGUCUUUUAAGUCUGAUGUGAAAGCCUUCGGCUUAACCGGAGUAGUGCAUUGGAAACCGGGCGACUUGAGUGCAGAAGAGGACAGUGGAACUCCAUGUGUAGCGGUGGAAUGCGUAGAUAUAUGGAAGAACACCAGUGGCGAAGGCGGCUGUCUGGUCUGUAACUGACGCUGAGGUUCGAAAGCGUGGGUAGCAAACAGG